AGAAGAUGGUAAGGGCAAACGGUGGAUGCCUUGGCACAAGAAGCCGAUGAAGGACGUGAUAAGCUGCGAUAAGCCACGGUAAGGAGCACAUAUCCUGUGACCCGUGGAUUUCCGAAUGGGUAAACCCACCAAGAGUCAUUUCUUGGUACUUCCUGCUGAAUAUAUAGGCAGGAUAGAGGUAACCGGGGGAACUGAAACAUCUAAGUACCCCGAGGAAGAGAAAUCAAACGAGAUUCCCCUAGUAGUGGCGAGCGAACGGGGAUAUAGGACAAACCGUCAGUUGCGCAAGCGCUGGCGGGGUUGUAGGACCAUUCAUUGUGGAGUUACAAAACUUCGUGGAAGCAGAAUAGCUUGGAAAAGCUGGCGAGACAGGGUAAAAGCCCCGUACGCGAAUCUGCGAAGACUCCCGAGUGGCACCUGAGUACUGCCGGACACGUGAAACCCGGUGGGAACCUGGGGGGUCCACCCUCCAAUCCUAAAUACUCUCUUGUGACCGAUAGUGAACCAGUACCGUGAGGGAAAGGUGAAAAGCACCCCUAGCGGGGAGUGAAAUAGUACCUGAAACCGUUUGCCUACAAGCAGUCGGAGCAGACUUUUGUCUGUGACGGCGUGCCUUUUGUAGAAUGAGCCAGCGAGUUACGGCAUGUGGCAAGGUUAAGCUAAAAAGCGAGCCGCAGCGAAAGCGAGUCUGAAUAGGGCGAGUGAGUCGCAUACCGUAGACGCGAAGCCAGGUGAGCUAUCCAUGAGCAGGCUGAAGCGGGGGUAAGACCCCGUGGAGGGCCGAACCCACUUAGGUUGAAAACUGAGGGGAUGACUUGUGGAUAGGAGUGAAAGGCCUAUCAAACCUGGAGAUAUCUCGUUCUCUCCGAAAUAGCUUUAGGGCUAGCCUCGGAUGUUUACCAAUGGGGGUAGAGCACUGAAUAGUUGCGGGGGCUUCACCGCCUACCAAGAUUAAUCAAACUCCGAAUACCAUUGGUCUAGAAUCCGGGAGUCAGAAUAUGUGGGCUAAGCUGUGUAUUCGAAAGGGAAACAGCCCAGACCGCCCGCUAAGGUCCCAAAAUCAAUGCUAAGUGGCAAAGGAUGUGCGUUUGCUCAGACAACCAGGAUGUUGGCUUAGAAGCAGCCAUUCAUUUAAAGAGUGCGUAAUAGCUCACUGGUCGAGUGGACAUGCGCCGACAAUAUACGGGGCUAAGCAUUGUACCGAAGCGGCGGAUCAGUACUUUGUACUGGUGGUAGGAGAGCUUUCUGUACGGGUUGAAGCAGUUGGAUAACCAACUGUGGACUGUCCAGAAGUGAGAAUGCUGGCAUGAGUAACGAGAGACAUGUAAAAAACAUGUCCGCCGUAAACCCAAGGUUUCCUGGGCAAGGCUAAUCCUCCCAGGGUUAGGCGGGAGCUAAGGCAAGGCCGGAAGGCGUAGUCGAUGCACAACAGGUAGAAAUUCCUGUCCCUCCAAAAGAGCGUUAUCACCAAUGGGGUGACGGAGAAGGGUAGCUAGGCGGGGUUCUGGACGUCCCCGUGAUGGCACGUAGGCUGAGAAGUAGUGAAAUGCGCUUCUCAUGUGGCUGAGGUGUCGGACGAAGCAAUUGAGUGAAGCUAGUAAGCCCAUACUUCCAAGAAAAACCUCUAGGGAGCUCUGAGGAGCCCGUACCGCAAACCGACACAGGUGGGUGGGUAGAGCAUACCAAGGCGAUCGGGAGAACUAUGGUUAAGGAACUCGGCAAAAUUGCCCCGUAACUUCGGGAGAAGGGGUGCCGGUUUCGGUGAAGGGAUUUACUCCCCGAGCUAAGAUCGGUCACAGUAAAUAGGUCCAAGCGACUGUUUAUCAAAAACACAGGACUCUGCUGAAGUCGUAAGACGACGUAUAGGGUCUGACGCCUGCCCGGUGCCGGAAGGUCACGAGGAGUUGUUAGCAUUAGCGAAGCAGCGAAUCUAAGCCCCGGUAAACGGCGGCCGUAACUAUAACGGUCCUAAGGUAGCGAAAUUCCUUGUCGGGU
Molecule: ribosomal RNA, 1995 nt
Filed under: human metagenome
Description: bacterial LSU rRNA
Rfam family: Bacterial large subunit ribosomal RNA
Source: RNAcentral